This 440-nucleotide ribosomal RNA is filed under the name uncultured bacterium. Its description in RNAcentral is "partial 16S ribosomal RNA". It matches the Rfam family "Bacterial small subunit ribosomal RNA", at positions 338 to 795 of the family's 1533-position model. The record is from RNAcentral.
CCUACGGGAGGCAGCAGUGGGGGAUAUUGCACAAUGGGGGGAACCCUGAUGCAGCGACGCCGCGUGGGUGAAGAAGCGCCUCGGCGCGUAAAGCCCUGUCAGCAGGGAAGAAAAUGACGGUACCUGCAGAAGAAGCCCCGGCUAACUACGUGCCAGCAGCCGCGGUAAUACGUAGGGGGCAAGCGUGAUCCGGAUUUACUGGGUGUAAAGGGGGCGCAGACGGCGAUGCAAGCCAGAAGUGAAAGCCCGGGGCGCAACCCCGGGACUGCUCUUGGAACUGCGUAGCUGGAGUGCAGGAGGGGCAGGCGGAAUUCCUGGUGUAGCGGUGAAAUGCGUAGAUAUCAGGAGGAACACCGGUGGCGAAGGCGGCCUGCUGGACUGCAACUGACGUUGAGGCCCGAAAGCGUGGGGAGCAAACAGGAUUAGAUACCCGAGUAGUC